UCUCUCAAACCGUAUGGCCAAAAAUUCUCAAUUUUUUACACAACCUGCAUAUCUACUGAUAUUAACACCCCAAAUUUUUUCCAGAAUUUAUAAAGCACAAAAAGGGGACGAAAAUGCCCCUGCUACGGACUGAUCCAAAACAGUUCCUAGAAACGGGACUGUUUUCACAUAAAUCAACACCACGACUUUUAGAAACGUGAUUUUUGAGUUCUACCACUUGGGUUAACUACUAAACACAUAUAUCUAGCACCCCUCUUUGACGGAUCGCAAAAAGGAAUUUUAGAUUUAAAACGGUGAAAUUUCAAAGUAUAUAGAAAUUUUGAUUUUCAAAACUAGAAAAUUAUUUUUCCUUAUUCUUUUGAUUCCCACCAAAUCAACACCCAAUAUGGUUAUAUCUAAACAUGAAACACUCAUUAACACAUAUAUCUAAGGUUUUUGAGUUUAGAAACAUAAAUCCAAGCUUUGAUUUGGAAAACUAAAAUCAAUUGCAUAAACUAAUUUUAGGAUUUACCUUUUUCUUAAGCCUUCCUUCUUCUUCUUCUUCCUUCUUCCUUCUUCCUUCUUCCUUCUUCCAUGGAUGAACUUUCUCUUUCUAAUCUUUAUAAAAUUGAUUGCAAUUGAUUGAGGGUUGAUUAUUGCUAGAGAUAUAGAGUCACCACUCAAUCAACCAACUAAAUUAUUGCUCAUAGGAUUCUCUAGGAAAUAAUUCACCAAAAUGGGACAAAAAGGGUAAAAUGGACAUUUCCAUAUCAAUAAUUGAUAUUUUUUUUAAUUCUUAUUUAGCAUACCAAAUGUCCAAUAUCUCCCUCCUUAAUUGGGCUUAAAUUUGGGCCACCAUUUCCAUCUUUUGGGCUAUCAAUAAAUAAUAUAUUGGACUUAAAAUUUAAUUCUUUGGGCCAUGUAAAUUAACAUAGUCCAAUACUAUUAAUUCUUUUCCAACCCAAAUCAUUAAAUUAGGGUUUUCAUUUUCCUCAAUUAUAACUUAAAUCCUUACUCAUGCACAUUUAUUUCCUUAACCCAAUUAGACUUGCUAAAAUUAGGUUAUAAAAUUAAUUAACUGAGAUGUAUAAAAUAAAUCUCU
Molecule: long non-coding RNA, 1081 nt
Filed under: Panax ginseng (ginseng)
Lineage: Eukaryota; Viridiplantae; Streptophyta; Magnoliopsida; Apiales; Araliaceae
Description: long non-coding RNA (PGIN_LNC001871)
Source: RNAcentral